Molecule: long non-coding RNA, 1849 nt
Organism: Heterocephalus glaber (naked mole-rat)
Lineage: Eukaryota; Metazoa; Chordata; Mammalia; Rodentia; Bathyergidae
Source: Ensembl
CGACCCCGCCUGCGUCCACACGGGGACCAGGAGCCCGGCCCGCUUAAUGGCCACCUUUCGGCUUAGUGAACCAGGACUCCAGGCGGCGACCAACGCAAACCCUAAAGGAAGGGGUACUCCUCUAGUGGCCUUUGCUCUCCGCAUCAUUGGGUGCGUUCCCGAACGUGGCGCAGGCUUAAGCGCGAGGGAAGCCACGGCCACCGCCCCCAACACAAAGAGACGGGUCCUCACACGUACUUCCGUGCUACACAAGAACCCCUCAAGGGGGAGCUGAGGAAACGAGGGGCAGGGGACAAGCCAGGUGCUCAGACGCAACUUUACUUCAAAGCGUCUGGCACAAGCAAUGGGGGGAAAAGGGUACCGUAGGGAGGACGCGGUGCGCAGGCGCGGGGAACCAAGACCUGAGAGUUUGGAGCUGCCCCUCCCCCCUUCCUCAAAAGCCAGGGAAGUUGCCCCACUGCGCCUGCGCGACAAUGUUCGGGGGAGGGGAGAGCGGGCCAGUUCCCUGCGUUGAGAGAACCGCCCCCUCAGGUGAGCGAGCGCGCGAGUGCGCGCACGUACCACUCUCAAACUCCCUCGCGCGGCCUUUUGCGCCCGCCCUAUCGCGCGUGCGCCGGGAAGGAGGCGGCUGCGGCCGAAUUUGCGGCUUUUUUCUGAGUUUCUCUUGAGAAGUUUCUGGAAAGACGAAGCCUAAAGGAAGCUGGGGGAUGGGAAGAGCGGGGAAGCCGCAUUUGAGAGAAGAAAGCGAAAUAUCCAAAGCAGACGGCCAUCGCUCUGCCUCCCAACUCUCAAGCCACGGCCAAGGAGAGCCCGAGACCCUCACAUCCAGGGGAAAAGCAUGAGGACCGCACAGCUGCUGCUUCCUCUGGCCGUGACUAGAACCCUCGCCUCCGGGGCAGGGAAAGGGAAGGGGUGUCCGGGAACACCCGGAGCGGCCCGGGACGUUUGCGCGGUGGAGCGGGCGCCAGUGGCCCGGAGAUCUGGGCCCCGCCUGCAGUGGGCGUGGCUGCCGAGCUGCGGUUUAGGGGCGCCAGACUCCCGUUUUCCGUAGCCUCUCUUUGGUGGCUCUGUGUUUUCCCCUCCACCCGCCUCCACUUCGGUGGCGUGGAGCUAAUGCAGCGAGUGCGGAGAAGCCGCUCUACGUGGCCGCGGUGGGGCGGGGGCGCCGGCGCCUGGCUGCCAUUUUGUGGCUCGGCCGCCAUUUCGCGCCGCGCGGGUGGCGGGGCGCAGGCGCGGCACCUUUGUUCUUGGGACGCUGCCUGGCUGGGCGCGCGCUUCCCCGCGGCCUGGGAACCUGUACCAAAGAUCCCACGCCCUCCUCGCUCGUGGACAACAUAACGGCCCGGCCGCCGUGGGAAAAAGACGCCUUGCCGGGGAGGGUUAACGCAGCGUGGAAAGCCGCUCUCUGGAACCUCGGGCCUGAGGGAGGAGCAAAGCGUGGGCCCUUGUGGCGCUCUGUAAAGAGUAGGGCAGAGCAAGCAGCUGCGGGAGCCCUAAUAAAGGUGUUAAAGCCCUCGUAAUCGGGAGACCCGAUCGCUUUACAAAAGAAAAACACCCGAAGUAGCGCCUGAAGUGCUGCCAGGCGGUGGAGAACAGAGCUCACGUCUCAUUGGCUGGCUCGCUCGCUCUCUCUGCGCAAUUGCGUUCGGACGAGGGGAUUGAACUCAGGUCCUUGUGCUUCCGCAGCAGGUGGUGAAACCACUGAGCUAAAUCCCCGGCCCUCCAAUAUGUUAAUAUGAGAGUCGCCCUGACCACCGCUGCCUUCCCUCUCAAGGCUACAGAUUCCACUUUCCCGACCACAACCUGCACAGACGAGCACCAAGAGGAGCAGGAUAAGGCAGAAAAGGAC